CCCCGGCUGGAACUUAAGCCAUAUCCAAAUAAAGCGGGAGGGAAAAAGAAACCAACAGGGAUUUGCCCUCAGUAGCGGGCGAAGUGAAGCGGGCAAGAGCUCAGAUUUUAAAAUCGUGCUUUGCGGGCACGAGUUGUAGAUUGCAGGUUGGAGUCUGUGUGGAAGGGCGGUGUCCAAGUCCCUUGGGAACAGGGCGCCCCAGGAGGGUGAGAGCCCCGUGGGAUGCCGGCGGAAGCAGUGAGGCCCUUCUGACGAGUCGAGUUGUUUGGGAAUGCAGCUCCAAGCGGGUGGUAAAUUCCAUCUAAGGCUAAAUACUGGCGAGAGACCGAUAGCGAACAAGUACUGUGAAGGAAAGAUGAAAAGCACUUUGAAAAGAGAGUGAAACAGCACGUGAAAUUGUUGAAAGGGAAGGGUAUUGCGCCCGACAUGGGGAUUGCGCACCGCUGCCUCUCGUGGGCGGCGCUCUGGGCUUUCCCUGGGCCAGCAUCGGUUCUUGCUGCAGGAGAAGGGGUUCUGGAACGUGGCUCUUCGGAGUGUUAUAGCCAGGGCCAGAUGCUGCGUGCGGGGACCGAGGACUGCGGCCGUGUAGGUCACGGAUGCUGGCAGAACGGCGCAACACCGCCCGUCUUGAAACAUGGACCAAGGAGUCUAACGUCUAUGCGAGUGUUUUGGGUGUGAAACCCGUACGCGUAAUGAAAAGUGAACGUAGGUCGGACCCCCUGCCCUCGGGGAGGGGAGCACGAUCGACCGAUCCCGAUGUUUAUCGGAAGGAUUUUGAGUAGGAGCCAUAGCUGUUGGGACCCGAAAGAUGGUGAACUAUGCCCUGAAUAUGGUGAAGCCAGAGGAAACUCUGGUGGAGGCUCGUAGCGGGUUCUGACGUGCAAAUCGAUCGUCGAAUUUGGGGUAUAGGGGGCGAAAGACUUAAUCGAAACCCAUCUAGUAUCUUGGUUUCCUGCCGAAAGUUUUCCUCUUCAAGGAA
This 979-nucleotide ribosomal RNA is filed under the name Pichia kudriavzevii. RNAcentral's name for it is "partial large subunit ribosomal RNA". It matches the Rfam family "Eukaryotic large subunit ribosomal RNA", at positions 24 to 979 of the family's 3401-position model. The record is from RNAcentral. Lineage: Eukaryota; Fungi; Ascomycota; Pichiomycetes; Pichiales; Pichiaceae.